UGCAUUCACUACUGUGAGUCGCUCUGGAUAAGAACGUCUGCUAAAUGACUAAAA
Molecule: non-coding RNA, 54 nt
Organism: Salmo salar (Atlantic salmon)
Lineage: Eukaryota; Metazoa; Chordata; Actinopteri; Salmoniformes; Salmonidae
Source: Rfam